RNAcentral lists this ribosomal RNA (321 nucleotides) under uncultured eukaryote. RNAcentral's name for it is "partial 18S ribosomal RNA". It matches the Rfam family "Eukaryotic small subunit ribosomal RNA", at positions 1470 to 1796 of the family's 1831-position model. The record is from RNAcentral.
CCCUUAGAUGUCCUGGGCCGCACGCGCGCUACACUGAGUGUCUGAGAUACGAGUCUGCCUGGUCCGGCAAGGUCUAGGUAAUCGCUAAAAGACACAUCAUGCUUGGGAUAGAUUAUUGCAAAUAUUAAUCUUGAACGAGGAAUUCCUAGUAAGCGCAAGUCAACAGCUUGCGUUGAUUACGUCCCUGCCCUUUGUACACACCGCCCGUCGCUACUACUGAUUGGGUGAUCCGGUGAGCUGUUCGGCCAUAGCAAUGUUUCUUGAGCAGGGCAAUGAAUGUUUCGCAAACCUUGCCACUUAGAGGAAGGAGAAGUCGUAACA